GGGGCAUUUGUGUAAUUGUAUAAAAAGGAAAAAUACGAACCAAAGAAGAAGAGAAGAAAUAACUCAGCUGCCAUUUUCAAUUUUCAUCUUCCCUCCAUCUCCUCUCUCCCAAAUUCCACCCUAUUUUCGCCAUUUUUAUCUCCGCUGCAGAUUGGCCGAUCUCCUCGUGACCCACCUCCUAAGCAAGCCUGAUUCAAGAGUUUUCCUAUAUUUUUAUCUCCAUCUCUAUCUUCCUCAACGUGCACAAACUCUGUGUUUUGCGCUUACAAAAGAGUAUUUCUGAUGAUGCAUGGAUUGAGGCUACUGCAAAUCUUCCAUUAUUGAAGGAGCUUGAAAUUUCAAACCGUCCUUGGAGCAUAGAAAAGUUUGUGGAAGCUGUGGACCGCAAUUGUCCCCAUUUGAAAUCACUCAAAUUGAAAAAUCUGGGAAUUUAUUAUUGGGGAGCAGGUUCUUCCAAUGGGAGUAAUCAUUAGGCUGUUGCUAUUUUAGAGAACCUACCUGGACUAUUCAGCCUCUUGCUUUAUGAAAAUAAACUGACAGAUGAUGCAUGUAGUUAAUUAUCAGUUGUAUCCACUUCACAGGUUUCUUACUUGGAGGUUUUAUUUUUGAGCAAGUCCAACCUGGUCAACAGUCACCCAAAUCCACAAUCUUGGGGUCAGAAGGAAGGAAGUAGUUUUUUUGUUAGAGAAAAAGUCAUACUAGGCUUUUUGAGACCUGUAAUAUUUGUUGUAAUAUUUGUUUACUUGUGUUUCAUUUGCUGUAAUAUUUGCAAGUUAUGAACUUAAUUCAAGAACUAUUGUUUCUCAUUUCAAUGGAAUCUCUCCAAAACCA
Long non-coding RNA from Carya illinoinensis, 831 nucleotides. RefSeq lists it as uncharacterized. The transcript has 2 exons. NCBI's taxonomy places the organism in Eukaryota, Viridiplantae, Streptophyta, Magnoliopsida, Fagales, Juglandaceae. The record is from RefSeq and is a predicted model, not a curated record.